UACGUAGGUGGCGAGCGUUGUCCGGAUUUACUGGGCGUAAAGGGAGCGUAGGCGGAUUUUUAAGUGAGAUGUGAAAUACUCGGGCUCAACUUGAGUGCUGCAUUUCAAACUGGAAGUCUAGAGUGCAGGAGAGGAGAAUGGAAUUCCUAGUGUAGCGGUGAAAUGCGUAGAGGUUAGGAAGAACACCAGUGGCGAAGGCGAUUCUCUGGACUGUAACUGACGCUGAGGCUCGAAAGCGUGGGGAGCAAACAGG
RNAcentral lists this ribosomal RNA (253 nucleotides) under uncultured bacterium. Its description in RNAcentral is "partial 16S ribosomal RNA". It matches the Rfam family "Bacterial small subunit ribosomal RNA", at positions 524 to 776 of the family's 1533-position model. The record is from RNAcentral.